This 402-nucleotide small RNA is filed under the name Pongo abelii (Sumatran orangutan). RNAcentral's name for it is "processed transcript". Lineage: Eukaryota; Metazoa; Chordata; Mammalia; Primates; Hominidae. The record is from RNAcentral.
GGUGCUAGGAAGCUCACUGCCUCCUGUUCCAGCUCCCGCUGCUGCUCUGCGGACUCGGGAACACCUUCGAGCUUUGCAGACCUGCGGUCAGCCCUCCAUGCGCAACACUAAAGCAGCAGAAGGGGAGGCACAAUGGCUCACACCUUUAAUCCCAGUGAUUUGGGAGGCUGAGGCAGGAGGAUCUCUUGAGCCCAGGAAUUCGAGGCUGCACGCACCUCGGCAUCCGCAUUACCAGUGCUCGCGUGGCAGUCCACUAAUCGGGUGAGAACCAUAUUGCUUUUUGCAUUUCAAUGAAGUAAUAGUAGCAAUUUAUCAAGCACUUUUUUUUCCAGACUGGUAUAAAAUUGUAUGUGCUUCUGUAAACCAUUUAACAAUAAAAGUAAAAUGCAAAGGGGAACCGGG